This 253-nucleotide ribosomal RNA is filed under the name uncultured bacterium. RNAcentral describes it as "partial 16S ribosomal RNA". It matches the Rfam family "Bacterial small subunit ribosomal RNA", at positions 524 to 776 of the family's 1533-position model. The record is from RNAcentral.
UACAGAGGUCUCAAGCGUUGUUCGGAUUCAUUGGGCGUAAAGGGUGCGUAGGCGGCCAACUAAGUCGGAUGUGAAAUCCCCAGGCUCAACUUGGGAACUGCAUCCGAUACUGGAUGGCUUGAAUUCGGGAGAGGGAUGCAGAAUUCCAGGUGUAGCGGUGAAAUGCGUAGAUAUCUGGAGGAAUACCGGUGGCGAAGGCGGCAUCCUGGACCGACAUUGACGCUGAGGAGCGAAAGCUAGGGGAGCAAACGGG